UACGGAGGUUUCCCUCGUUCUCCGUCUUUCCUGGGUUUAAAGGGUGCGUAGGUGGACAGGAAAGUCAGUGGUGAAAUCUUCGAGCUUAACUCGGAAACUGCCAUUGAUACUAUUUGUCUUGAAUACUUUGGAGGUAAGCGGAAUAUGUCAUGUAGCGGUGAAAUGCUUAGAUAUGACAUAGAACACCAAUUGCGAAGGCAGCUUACUACACAGUUAUUGACACUGAGGCACGAAAGCGUGGGGAUCAAACAGG
Molecule: ribosomal RNA, 253 nt
Filed under: uncultured bacterium
Lineage: Bacteria
Description: partial 16S ribosomal RNA
Rfam family: Bacterial small subunit ribosomal RNA
Source: RNAcentral